AUUGAACGCUGGCGGAAGGGGGUACACAUGCGAGUCGAACGGUAACAGGCCUUCGGGUGCUGACGAGUGGCGAACGGGUGCGUAAUGCAUCGGAACGUACCCAGAGGUGGGGGAUAACGCAGCGAAAGCUGUGCUAAUACCGCAUGUGAUCUGAGGAUGAAAGCGGGGGACCGAGCAGCAAUGUUUGGCCUCGCGCCUUUGGAGCGGCCGAUGUCGGAUUAGCUAGUUGGUGGGGUAAAGGCCUACCAAGGAGAGGAUCCGUAGCUGGUCUGAGAGGACGACCAGCCACACUGGGACUGAGACACGGCCCAGACUCCUACGGGAGGCAGCAGUGGGGAAUUUUGGACGAUGGGCGCAAGCCUGAUCCAGCAAUGCCGCGUGCGGGAAGAAGGCCUUCGGGUUGUAAACCGCUUUUGGCAGGAACGAAACGGUGUCCGCUAAUACCGGGCGCUAAUGACGGUACCUGCAGAAUAAGCACCGGCUCCCUACGUU
RNAcentral lists this ribosomal RNA (492 nucleotides) under uncultured bacterium. Its description in RNAcentral is "partial 16S ribosomal RNA". It matches the Rfam family "Bacterial small subunit ribosomal RNA", at positions 29 to 507 of the family's 1533-position model. The record is from RNAcentral.